RNAcentral lists this unclassified non-coding RNA (3144 nucleotides) under Hevea brasiliensis (rubber tree). The record is from RNAcentral. Lineage: Eukaryota; Viridiplantae; Streptophyta; Magnoliopsida; Malpighiales; Euphorbiaceae.
UUUUUUUUUUUUUUUUUUGUGGUUGACAAGUUGGACAUGUUCUAUUACCACUUUGAUAUAAAAUAUCUGGACCAUGAAGUGUAUUCUUUUUCUACUUUCAUAAAAGCCAAUGUUAGAUGCUAAUUAGAAUUAAUGCAACUUCUCAUUUAUCACAGUCAAUGUAUACACAUAUCUAGUAACUCAAAUUUGCCAACAGAAGCAGAUUAGCAUUGACAGGAACCUACUGGAGUCUCACUGAUAGCCUUGUGAACCAGCUCUUUCAAUAUAGCAUGAACCUGGAUUUCACAAAAAAUGAGUGAGUAUAACUGUGUAAGCCUGAAAUGCAGAAUUCAGAAAAAUUUGCAAACUGCACAUAUAGGAAAUCAACUAAAGUGUACAUAGAAGGCUAAAUGUAUAAGCUGACACUCUUCAUUCACUCAGUUACAUGGUCAGAAUUUAAAAAAUUAAAUUCUCAACUUAGAAUCACAGGUUUUUAAGUGGCCAGAUAACAUAUUUUCACAUGUCUACAUCUCUUUAUACCAUCUUCAUUAUGGAGAAUUCAUGAGCGAAAAGAAAAUUAUCUAGAGUUUUAGAGUAUUGUACACACUUAUGGAGCUAUUAAUAUAUGAGACUUCUACAUGAUCAGAAUGAAUCAAAUCUUUGAUGGAUCACAGAUUGAAAUAAAGUACUAUAUUCAUGCAUGCAAAGUAAAUUCCUUUUCCCCUCAUGCAUACCGCAUCAACUGAUGCCUCAGCUGGACCUCUAAUGGUAACUAAAGAAGAUUCAAUGAGGCGUCGGUAUCCUUGUUCAGGAGCUAUCAAAUGAGGUUGAUAUCCAUCAGCUUCUGUGAUCAGUUUCCGAAUGUUUUCCAUUGAAAGUUGCUUGUCAAACUGUAACCUUUUUAGAGCAGCAGGAAGCUGGUUAUCAAAAACAUUGUAGAUUUUUUCACCACCAGCUCGCACGCCAUCAAGAUGCUCUUUGUAUAUUUGAUCAAAAAGACGACAUAUCUCCAUGAUUGUGUACAAUUUUCCUCCAGCAUCAGCAGCAAUGGGCUUUCCAAGACGACUCAAUUCAGAUUCCAGUUCAGCAAUUGUUUUGUUGAUAAGGGACUGGAUGCCUGGGAUUCUAGACUUGAUUACAGUUUCCAAAUGCUUAGAUAGCACCUUUGCUAGAUGCUCAGAGCCCAUUCUAUGAGCAAGGUGCUUAUAUUCUGGGGAGUUUGCAAAAUACUCACGUUCUCUUCGCCGAGCAGCAAUCAUAUCUACAUUCUUGUUAAUAUCAGCUUGUGACCGGUUCACGACACCAACCCAAGGAAAUUUUAGCCGAUAAGCUUUUCCUUCCAAUAUCUAAGCAAGGCCAAAUGGGACUCGGAAAGCCAAAAAUGCAUUUAAUAGUAAACAAUAGGGCAUUUAAAACAAGCAUAACACAGCAGUAAUCAACAAGAAUAUACAGCAGUAAUCAACAAGAAGUAUGCAGAUGAUGCAUACAUGGAGAAAGAUCUUAAUGGCAUUUGCUAGUGCUUUCACUCCAUGAAACUUGUGAUAUUCAGUUAGCUUACAAUGCUUACCCAAUUUUAUAGGCUGAGUUAUAUUUGACUUAUGUUAAAGUAAGUUUUGAUUUAUUGACUAAUUUUUUUAAGCAGGGAUCAGUUAUUUUGCAAUUUCCAUAGCAUUUUACUUCUUUUUAAUAAAUAGUCAAGUCCAUAGUCUUUCAAAAAUUCUACAAGUCUUACAAACUCGCUUUGUUCUCUUUUCUGGAAUUUUGAUUAUGGAAUAUCAUUACAAGUACUAAGCGAUUAGAUUUUAUAGUCACUAAUAGCCAUAUUAAUUUUAAUAGUAUUCUCUUUUUACUCUCCAAAUUGCACAUAAAGAUCAAAUAAUUACCCUCAUCUUAGCAAAUGGAUAUAGAACUUCAACAUGUUGCACAUACAGGCAAAUACCCUACUAUAUAUUCCCACUUUUCUAAUAUGUUUGAAGGUCAAUGACAUUCUAUGAACUGACAAUGAAGCAUUACUGAAUAAAUAAAUAAAUAAAUAUUAUACCAGCAACAGAAACUAAGCCAACUUACAUCAACUGCAUCAGUACCCUUAUCCAUAAGAUCAAUCUUUGUCAAGACCCCAAGAGUUCUCUCUCCUGAAAAAAUAUGAAAAUCAACAAAGUACUAGAACAUCUAAGACGUGCUCAAAAUUGUGAAACCAUAUGAAAGCAGAUUUUGAUGAUUGCAAUUGUAAAGCAGAAAAACAAGCUCAGAGAACCUUGAUAUACAAAAUUAGUGCAAGAUUACCUGUAGGGUCCACCUCACGAGAGAUUUUAAUUGCAUCAGAUGUUGCAAGAUCUUGAUUGGCAGGUGAAAUUGCUAGAAUUAUACAGUUGGGCUUCUCAAUGUAGGAGCGAACCAUAUUUUCAAUAUCUUGCACAAUACUAUCUGGCUGACCCUCAACAGCUACUUUUGUGAGCCCAGGAAGAUCAAUCAAUGUCAAGUUGACAACAUUAGGAGAGUAUAUACUCAGAUGAAUUGGAACACUAGAGAUUUGUUUUGUGCGUCCAGUCUCUCGAUCAGUCUCAUCUUGGAUCUCCCUCCGCACAGCAGCAAAAUCAGUGAACCUUUUCCUUGGGAGGUGAAGAAACUCUGCAUAUUCUCUGCUACCUUCGUCACUCUUAUGGAGCUGCAGCACAAGAGGACGCCGUGUAACAAUCCCAGAUCCACGUGGUAAGAAGUCCUUCCCAACAAUGCUUUCCAACACUGAAGACUUCCCCGAACUCUGGCCACCGACGACGGCGAUUGCGGGCAAGGAAUCCCAGAGCGUAGGCAAUGCGCUUGCUUCACCGUGAUCACCGAGAGCGGUACAAGCUCUCUGUAUUUUAUUAACCAGAGAAAUCAAAUUCUCCAUAUCAGGAAAAGAAAGAAAACAAGAAACAAAGACGGAGAUCGGCGCCGGUAAUCGCAGGUGUCAGAUUCAGAUCGCCUGGAUCUGACAACUUCGGAGGGAAACGGCACCGGUAGGGAGAUGGAUGGAUCUGUGACAAGGACUUGCCGGCUACAGAGAAGGAGAAAGGGAGCUUGUUGAGACUCGAACGAAGCGCGUUUUAGUAGGGGUUAAGAAUUAGUAGCGUUUUGGUUUUGAAAUGAAUAGACAGAGCUUGACCAGGACAAGCUACAGGCCGG